ACGAACGCUGGCGGCAGGCCUAACACAUGCAAGUCGAACGCCCUCUUUCGGGAGGGAGUGGCGCACGGGUGAGUAACGCGUGGGAAUCUGCCCUUUGGUUCGGAAUAACCCUGGGAAACUAGGGCUAACACCGGAUAAGCCCCGCGAGGGGGAAAGUUUACGCCGAAGGAGGAGCCCGCGUCCGAUUAGCUAGUUGGUGAGGUAAGAGCUCACCAAGGCUACGAUCGGUAGCUGGUCUGAGAGGACGAUCAGCCACACUGGGACUGAGACACGGCCCAGACUCCUACGGGAGGCAGCAGUGGGGAAUAUUGGACAAUGGGCGCAAGCCUGAUCCAGCCAUGCCGCGUGAGUGAUGAAGGCCUUCGGGUUGUAAAGCUCUUUUGGCGGGGACGAUGAUGACGGUACCCGCAGAAUAAGCCCCGGCAAACUUCGU
Molecule: ribosomal RNA, 433 nt
Filed under: uncultured bacterium
Lineage: Bacteria
Description: bacterial SSU rRNA
Rfam family: Bacterial small subunit ribosomal RNA
Source: RNAcentral